UACGAAGGGUGCAAGCGUUACUCGGAAUUACUGGGCGUAAAGCGUGCGCAGGCGGUUUUGUAAGUCAGAUGUGAAAUCCCCGGGCUUAACCUGGGAACUGCGUUUGAAACUACAAGGCUAGAGUGUGGCAGAGGGGGGUGGAAUUCCACGUGUAGCAGUGAAAUGCGUAGAGAUGUGGAGGAACACCGAUGGCGAAGGCAGCCCCCUGGGUUAACACUGACGCUCAGGCACGAAAGCGUGGGGAGCAAACAGG
RNAcentral lists this ribosomal RNA (253 nucleotides) under uncultured bacterium. RNAcentral's name for it is "partial 16S ribosomal RNA". It matches the Rfam family "Bacterial small subunit ribosomal RNA", at positions 524 to 776 of the family's 1533-position model. The record is from RNAcentral.